UGAUAUUCAUCAGACCCCAGAAAACAUACUGAUUGAUCAAGAUGGCAGGAUGAUGUCUGUGCAAGUCAGAACAUACCAGGGAAUGAGUAAUGACUCACCUGUGGAGUUACUUUACACAUAAAAUGGAUGGUCCUGGAAUAUCA
This 143-nucleotide non-coding RNA is filed under the name Felis catus (domestic cat). Lineage: Eukaryota; Metazoa; Chordata; Mammalia; Carnivora; Felidae. The record is from Rfam by way of RNAcentral.